Molecule: ribosomal RNA, 497 nt
Filed under: uncultured bacterium
Lineage: Bacteria
Description: partial 16S ribosomal RNA
Rfam family: Bacterial small subunit ribosomal RNA
Source: RNAcentral
GAUGAACGCUGGCGGCGUGCCUAAUACAUGCAAGUCGAGCGAACAGACGAGGAGCUUGCUCCUCUGACGUUAGCGGCGGACGGGUGAGUAACACGUGGAUAACCUACCUAUAAGACUGGGAUAACUUCGGGAAACCGGAGCUAAUACCGGAUAAUAUAUUGAACCGCAUGGUUCAAUAGUGAAAGACGGUUUUGCUGUCACUUAUAGAUGGAUCCGCGCCGCAUUAGCUAGUUGGUAAGGUAACGGCUUACCAAGGCAACGAUGCGUAGCCGACCUGAGAGGGUGAUCGGCCACACUGGAACUGAGACACGGUCCAGAAUCCUACGGGAGGCAGCAGUAGGGAAUCUUCCGCAAAGGGCGAAAGCCUGACGGAGCAACGCCGCGUGAGUGAUGAAGGUCUUCGGAUCGUAAAACUCUGUUAUUAGGGAAGAACAAAUGUGUAAGUAACUAUGCACGUCUUGACGGUACCUAAUCAGAAAGCCACGGCUAACUACGUG